Jaculus jaculus (lesser Egyptian jerboa) is the source of this 689-nucleotide long non-coding RNA. RefSeq lists it as uncharacterized. The transcript has 3 exons. The record is from RefSeq and is a predicted model, not a curated record. Lineage: Eukaryota; Metazoa; Chordata; Mammalia; Rodentia; Dipodidae.
UGUUCCAUAUAUAUCAUGCGGCAUAAUGUCCCUUGAGCCCAGCGUUGCAGUCAGUGAACACCGUGAGCAUGAAGCUUGUCUGAGAAGAGUCUGCACUUCCAGUGGAGCCCAUGUCUUGAACUGGAGCGGUGAUCUUUAUUGAGCAUACCUGAUCUAGCAAGUUGGUGCUAUUUGUGUAUCAUUUCCCAUUUACAGGACAGUGUAUGACCAAACCAGAGCUGAUCUUCAAGUUGGAGCAGGGAUUAUCACCAUGGAGUGUAACAGAAGGAUCAGUUCAGAGGCUUCCAGACAUUUCCUUUAAAUCUGUCUCACUGGAGGCCUGUACAAUUGAGAAACUGUACACAUAUAAGAAACCUGGGAAAACUUCCUUGAAAAGCCACUAGUCACUGUGCGUCAGAAUACCUGUACAUGUUGAAAGCCAUGAAUAUAAUAAAGGUUGCUGGAAUUCACCGCUUACUGUGCAUCAAAAGAACUCUUACAGAUGGCAGUCCAUAUGAUAUGAACGUUAUCAAUACGGUGGAGCUUUCCCCAUGCACUAUGCAUGACAUAACUUGACCAGAUGCCUGAACAGCAAAAAGCUAUAUAAUGGCCAUGGAUCUGGCAAAGUGUUCUUUCCAAGUCACAGCUCAUAUUGUGUCAGACAAAUUGUACCGAUGAAAAGGCGUGGGAACUUCUGUGAGCCUGAGCCC